AAAAGAACUCCCUGAUGCCUGACAACAACAUUCCCCCUUCCCACGCCCUGGAUCCCCUCCCAGCCCACGGAUCCAACCACCAGCGCUGGAAAGCGACCCUGGACGGGGAGGAAUCCCUGCUGGGAUGGGAUCCACGGAAAUCUGGAGCUCCGGGGAGGCGCCUGGAGUGCAGGUCCAGAGCAGAUCCAGAGAAGGUCCAGAGCAGGUCCAGAGCAGGUCUAGAUGAGGUCCAGAGCAGGUCUAGAUGAGGCCCAGAGCAGGUCCAGAGCAGGUCUAGAUGAGGUCCAGAGCAGGU
Serinus canaria (Common canary) is the source of this 295-nucleotide long non-coding RNA. RefSeq lists it as uncharacterized. NCBI's taxonomy places the organism in Eukaryota, Metazoa, Chordata, Aves, Passeriformes, Fringillidae. The record is from RefSeq and is a predicted model, not a curated record. The transcript has 3 exons.